This 810-nucleotide ribosomal RNA is filed under the name Bacillus subtilis. RNAcentral's name for it is "bacterial SSU rRNA". It matches the Rfam family "Bacterial small subunit ribosomal RNA", at positions 64 to 855 of the family's 1533-position model. The record is from RNAcentral. Lineage: Bacteria; Bacillati; Bacillota; Bacilli; Caryophanales; Bacillaceae.
GAGCGGACAGAUGGGAGCUUGCUCCCUGAUGUUAGCGGCGGACGGGUGAGUAACACGUGGGUAACCUGCCUGUAAGACUGGGAUAACUCCGGGAAACCGGGGCUAAUACCGGAUGGUUGUUUGAACCGCAUGGUUCAAACAUAAAAGGUGGCUUCGGCUACCACUUACAGAUGGACCCGCGGCGCAUUAGCUAGUUGGUGAGGUAACGGCUCACCAAGGCAACGAUGCGUAGCCGACCUGAGAGGGUGAUCGGCCACACUGGGACUGAGACACGGCCCAGACUCCUACGGGAGGCAGCAGUAGGGAAUCUUCCGCAAUGGACGAAAGUCUGACGGAGCAACGCCGCGUGAGUGAUGAAGGUUUUCGGAUCGUAAAGCUCUGUUGUUAGGGAAGAACAAGUACCGUUCGAAUAGGGCGGUACCUUGACGGUACCUAACCAGAAAGCCACGGCUAACUACGUGCCAGCAGCCGCGGUAAUACGUAGGUGGCAAGCGUUGUCCGGAAUUAUUGGGCGUAAAGGGCUCGCAGGCGGUUUCUUAAGUCUGAUGUGAAAGCCCCCGGCUCAACCGGGGAGGGUCAUUGGAAACUGGGGAACUUGAGUGCAGAAGAGGAGAGUGGAAUUCCACGUGUAGCGGUGAAAUGCGUAGAGAUGUGGAGGAACACCAGUGGCGAAGGCGACUCUCUGGUCUGUAACUGACGCUGAGGAGCGAAAGCGUGGGGAGCGAACAGGAUUAGAUACUCUGGUAGUCCACGCCGUAUACGAUGAGUGCUAAGUGUUAUGGGGUUUCCGCCCCUUAUUGCUGCAGCUAA